Molecule: ribosomal RNA, 1073 nt
Filed under: Mesocestoides sp. PO-2003
Lineage: Eukaryota; Metazoa; Platyhelminthes; Cestoda; Cyclophyllidea; Mesocestoididae
Description: SSU rRNA
Rfam family: Eukaryotic small subunit ribosomal RNA
Source: RNAcentral
AUUGUUACAGAUCGCAGUCGGCCUUGAGUCGGCGACGGGUCCUUCAAAUGUCUGCCCUAUCAACUUUCGAUGGUAGGUGACCUGCCUACCAUGGUGAUAACGGGUAACGGGGAAUCAGGGUUCGAUUCCGGAGAGGGAGCCUGAGAAACGGCUACCACUUCCAAGGGAGGCAGCAGGCGCGCAAAUUACCCACUCCCAGUACGGGGAGGUGGUGACGAAAAAUACCGAUGCGGGACUCCUUAAAGAGGCUCCGUAAUCGGAAUGAGUGGACUAUAAAUCCUUUCACGAGGAUCAAUUGGAGGGCAAGUCUGGUGCCAGCAGCCGCGGUAACUCCAGCUCCAAUAGCGUAUAUUAAAGUUGCUGCAGUUAAAAAGCUCGUAGUUGGAUCUCGGUAGCACUGUUGCCUGUUGGUCUUUGGGUGGAUGGUUGCCGUAGCUAGCGUCGUUGUCGUUGCGUGUUACUGCGGGAUGCGGCGUUGGCUGCGGCGGCAGCUGUGCAUUCCAAGCUAGCGGGGUAGCGGUGUGACCUGUAAGCCAUGUCUGUGGUGAAAGCCGCAGGUGUGAGCGAGUGUCGGGCGACGUCCUGCGGUAGUGGGGCUUGUCGGCUCGUUUGCAUGCCUUUGGAUGCCCUUAAAAAGGUGUCUGUGGGCGGAUGGCACGUUUACUUUGAACAAAUUUGAGUGCUCAAAUCAGGCCGAUGUUGCCUGAAAAGUUUUGCAUGGAAUAAUGGAAUAGGACUUCGGUUCUAUUUCGUUGGUUUUCGGAUCCGAAGUAAUGAUCAAAAGAGACAGGCGGGGGCGUUUGUAUGGCUGCGCUAGAGGUGAAAUUCAUGGACCGUAGCCAGACAAACUAAAGCGAAAGCAUUCGUCAAGCAUGUUUUCAUUGGCCAUGAGCGAAAGUCAGAGGCUCGAAGACGAUCAGAUACCGUCCUAGUUCUGACCAUAAACGAUGCCAACUGACGAUCCGUGGUGGUAGUCUGUCAACCUUCCCCACGGGCAGUCCCCGGGAAACCUUUAAGUCUUUGGGUUCCGGGGGAAGUAUGGUUGCAAAGCUGAAACUUAAAGGAAUUGACGG